GAUGAAGAACGUAGUGAAAUGCGAUAAGUAAUGUGAAUUGCAGAAUUCAGUGAAUCAUCGAAUCUUUGAACGCACAUUGCGCCCGCUAGUAUUCUGGCGGGCAUGCCUGUCCGAGCGUCUCAGGGACGAACCCUCGCGCGGGUGUACGCGCGGUCGUGGCUGCGGUGGCGUGCCCGAGGCGGCGGCCACCGCGCUGGAAUCCAUGGGCGGACGCCUGCCGCGUGGCCGAGCGUGAUAUGACGCAUUGGCGCUCGCACGCGGAGAGGCUGCCAGCCCUGGCCCGUCUGUCGGGCGGGGGAGAGCAAGACACGUGAACUCCUCGAAUCAGGUAGGGAUACCCGCUGAACUUAAGCAUAUCAAUAAGCGGAGGA
Molecule: unclassified non-coding RNA, 371 nt
Filed under: soil metagenome
Description: partial contains 5.8S ribosomal RNA, internal transcribed spacer 2, and large subunit ribosomal RNA
Rfam family: 5.8S ribosomal RNA (bases 1-120)
Source: RNAcentral